Long non-coding RNA from Gavialis gangeticus (Gharial), 157 nucleotides. RefSeq lists it as uncharacterized. NCBI's taxonomy places the organism in Eukaryota, Metazoa, Chordata, Crocodylia, Gavialidae. The record is from RefSeq and is a predicted model, not a curated record. The transcript has 4 exons.
GAUCUCCAACUGUGUGUGUGCGUGUGUGUGUGAUGGGACCAGCCCCAAGAUUUAUGAUUUGACUUCAUUACAGUGUUUCAAUCCGCCUAAUAAACCAGAAUUUCAAGGAUCCUGAGUUGGACAUUUGUAGCCAACACAUGCAUGCUUCCAUAUGCUA